Chelydra serpentina (North American snapping turtle) is the source of this 119-nucleotide ribosomal RNA. Lineage: Eukaryota; Metazoa; Chordata; Testudines; Chelydridae. The record is from Ensembl.
GUCUACGGCCAUACCACCCUGAACGCGCCCGAACUUGUCUGAUCUUAGAAGCUAAGCAGGGUCGGGCCUGGUUAGUACUUGGAUGGGAGACCUCCUGGGAAUACUGGGUGCUGUAGGCU